This 72-nucleotide transfer RNA is filed under the name Dipodomys ordii (Ord's kangaroo rat). It matches the Rfam family "tRNA". From Rfam's summary of the family: Transfer RNA (tRNA) molecules are approximately 80 nucleotides in length. Their secondary structure includes four short double-helical elements and three loops (D, anti-codon, and T loops). Further hydrogen bonds mediate the characteristic L-shaped molecular structure. tRNAs have two regions of fundamental functional importance: the anti-codon, which is responsible for specific mRNA codon recognition, and the 3' end, to which the tRNAs corresponding amino acid is attached (by aminoacyl-tRNA synthetases). tRNAs cope with the degeneracy of the genetic code in two manners: having more than one tRNA (with a specific anti-codon) for a particular amino acid; and 'wobble' base-pairing, i.e. permitting non-standard base-pairing at the 3rd anti-codon position. Lineage: Eukaryota; Metazoa; Chordata; Mammalia; Rodentia; Heteromyidae. The record is from Rfam by way of RNAcentral.
GGUAUAUGGCUCAAGUGGUAGAGUGUCUGCUUACCAAGCAUGAGAUCCUGGGUUCAAAUCCCAAUAUUGCCA